UUAAGCGACUAAGCGUACACGGUGGAUGCCCUGGCAGUCAGAGGCGAUGAAGGACGUGCUAAUCUGCGAUAAGCGUCGGUGAGGUGAUAUGAACCGUUAUAACCGGCGAUUUCCGAAUGGGGAAACCCAGUGUGUUUCGACACACUAUCAUUAACUGAAUCCAUAGGUUAAUGAGGCGAACCGGGGGAACUGAAACAUCUAAGUACCCCGAGGAAAAGAAAUCAACCGAGAUUCCCCCAGUAGCGGCGAGCGAACGGGGAGGAGCCCAGAGCCUGAAUCAGUGUGUGUGUUAGUGGAAGCGUCUGGAAAGGCGCGCGAUACAGGGUGACAGCCCCGUACACAAAAAUGCACAUAUUGUGAGCUCGAUGAGUAGGGCGGGACACGUGGUAUCCUGUCUGAAUAUGGGGUGACCAUCCUCCAAGGCUAAAUACUCCUGACUGACCGAUAGUGAACCAGUACCGUGAGGGAAAGGCGAAAAGAACCCCGGCGAGGGGAGUGAAAAAGAACCUGAAACCGUGUACGUACAAGCAGUGGGAGCCUCUUAAUGGGGUGACUGCGUACCUUUUGUAUAAUGGGUCAGCGACUUAUAUUCUGUAGCAAGGUUAACCGAAUAGGGGAGCCGAAGGGAAACCGAGUCUUAACUGGGCGUUAAGUUGCAGGGUAUAGACCCGAAACCCGGUGAUCUAGCCAUGGGCAGGUUGAAGGUUGGGUAACACUAACUGGAGGACCGAACCGACUAAUGUUGAAAAAUUAGCGGAUGACUUGUGGCUGGGGGUGAAAGGCCAAUCAAACCGGGAGAUAGCUGGUUCUCCCCGAAAGCUAUUUAGGUAGCGCCUCGUGAAUUCAUCUCCGGGGGUAGAGCACUGUUUCGGCAAGGGGGUCAUCCCGACUUACCAACCCGAUGCAAACUGCGAAUACCGGAGAAUGUUAUCACGGGAGACACACGGCGGGUGCUAACGUCCGUCGUGAAGAGGGAAACAACCCAGACCGCCAGCUAAGGUCCCAAAGUCAUGGUUAAGUGGGAAACGAUGUGGGAAGGCCCAGACAGCCAGGAUGUUGGCUUAGAAGCAGCCAUCAUUUAAAGAAAGCGUAAUAGCUCACUGGUCGAGUCGGCCUGCGCGGAAGAUGUAACGGGGCUAAACCAUGCACCGAAGCUGCGGCAGCGACACUAUGUGUUGUUGGGUAGGGGAGCGUUCUGUAAGCCUGUGAAGGUGGCCUGUGAGGGUUGCUGGAGGUAUCAGAAGUGCGAAUGCUGACAUAAGUAACGAUAAAGCGGGUGAAAAGCCCGCUCGCCGGAAGACCAAGGGUUCCUGUCCAACGUUAAUCGGGGCAGGGUGAGUCGACCCCUAAGGCGAGGCCGAAAGGCGUAGUCGAUGGGAAACAGGUUAAUAUUCCUGUACUUGGUGUUACUGCGAAGGGGGGACGGAGAAGGCUAUGUUGGCCGGGCGACGGUUGUCCCGGUUUAAGCGUGUAGGCUGGUUUUCCAGGCAAAUCCGGAAAACCAAGGCUGAGGCGUGAUGACGAGGCACUACGGUGCUGAAGCGACAAAUGCCCUGCUUCCAGGAAAAGCCUCUAAGCAUCAGGUAACAUCAAAUCGUACCCCAAACCGACACAGGUGGUCAGGUAGAGAAUACCAAGGCGCUUGAGAGAACUCGGGUGAAGGAACUAGGCAAAAUGGUGCCGUAACUUCGGGAGAAGGCACGCUGAUAUGUAGGUGAAGCGACUUGCUCGUGGAGCUGAAAUCAGUCGAAGAUACCAGCUGGCUGCAACUGUUUAUUAAAAACACAGCACUGUGCAAACACGAAAGUGGACGUAUACGGUGUGACGCCUGCCCGGUGCCGGAAGGUUAAUUGAUGGGGUUAGCGGUAACGCGAAGCUCUUGAUCGAAGCCCCGGUAAACGGCGGCCGUAACUAUAACGGUCCUAAGGUAGCGAAAUUCCUUGUCGGGUAAGUUCCGACCUGCACGAAUGGCGUAAUGAUGGCCAGGCUGUCUCCACCCGAGACUCAGUGAAAUUGAACUCGCUGUGAAGAUGCAGUGUACCCGCGGCAAGACGGAAAGACCCCGUGAACCUUUACUAUAGCUUGACACUGAACAUUGAGCCUUGAUGUGUAGGAUAGGUGGGAGGCUUUGAAGUGUGGACGCCAGUCUGCAUGGAGCCGACCUUGAAAUACCACCCUUUAAUGUUUGAUGUUCUAACGUUGGCCCCUAAUCGGGGUUGCGGACAGUGUCUGGUGGGUAGUUUGACUGGGGCGGUCUCCUCCUAAAGAGUAACGGAGGAGCACGAAGGUUGGCUAAUCCUGGUCGGACAUCAGGAGGUUAGUGCAAUGGCAUAAGCCAGCUUGACUGCGAGCGUGACGGCGCGAGCAGGUGCGAAAGCAGGUCAUAGUGAUCCGGUGGUUCUGAAUGGAAGGGCCAUCGCUCAACGGAUAAAAGGUACUCCGGGGAUAACAGGCUGAUACCGCCCAAGAGUUCAUAUCGACGGCGGUGUUUGGCACCUCGAUGUCGGCUCAUCACAUCCUGGGGCUGAAGUAGGUCCCAAGGGUAUGGCUGUUCGCCAUUUAAAGUGGUACGCGAGCUGGGUUUAGAACGUCGUGAGACAGUUCGGUCCCUAUCUGCCGUGGGCGCUGGAGAACUGAGGGGGGCUGCUCCUAGUACGAGAGGACCGGAGUGGACGCAUCACUGGUGUUCGGGUUGUCAUGCCAAUGGCACUGCCCGGUAGCUAAAUGCGGAAGAGAUAAGUGCUGAAAGCAUCUAAGCACGAAACUUGCCCCGAGAUGAGUUCUCCCUGAGACUUAGAGUCUCCUGAAGGAACGUUGAAGACGACGACGUUGAUAGGCCGGGUGUGUAAGCGCAGCGAUGCGUUGAGCUAACCGGUACUAAUGAACCGUGAGGCUUAACCUU
This 2902-nucleotide ribosomal RNA is filed under the name Escherichia coli UMEA 3230-1. RNAcentral describes it as "bacterial LSU rRNA". It matches the Rfam family "Bacterial large subunit ribosomal RNA". The record is from RNAcentral. Lineage: Bacteria; Pseudomonadati; Pseudomonadota; Gammaproteobacteria; Enterobacterales; Enterobacteriaceae.